Molecule: ribosomal RNA, 495 nt
Filed under: uncultured bacterium
Lineage: Bacteria
Description: partial 16S ribosomal RNA
Rfam family: Bacterial small subunit ribosomal RNA
Source: RNAcentral
GACGAACGCUGGCGGCGUGCCUAAUACAUGCAAGUAGAACGCUGAAGGAGGAGCUUGCUUCUCUGGAUGAGUUGCGAACGGGUGAGUAACGCGUAGGUAACCUGCCUGGUAGCGGGGGAUAACUAUUGGAAACGAUAGCUAAUACCGCAUAAGAGUAGAUGUUGCAUGACAUUUACUUAAAAGGUGCAAUUGCAUCACUACCAGAUGGACCUGCGUUGUAUUAGCUAGUUGGUGAGGUAACGGCUCACCAAGGCAACGGUACAUAGCCGACCUGAGAGGGUGAUCGGCCACACUGGGACUGAGACACGGCCCAGACUCCUACGGGAGGCAGCAGUAGGGAAUCUUCGGCAAUGGACGGAAGUCUGACCGAGCAACGCCGCGUGAGUGAAGAAGGUUUUCGGAUCGUAAAGCUCUGUUGUAAGAGAAGAACGAGUGUGAGAGUGGAAAGUUCACACUGUGACGGUAUCUUACCAGAAAGGGACGGCUAACUACGUG